RNAcentral lists this ribosomal RNA (500 nucleotides) under uncultured bacterium. RNAcentral's name for it is "partial 16S ribosomal RNA". It matches the Rfam family "Bacterial small subunit ribosomal RNA", at positions 30 to 523 of the family's 1533-position model. The record is from RNAcentral.
AUUGAACGCUGGCGGAAUGCUUUACACAUGCAAGUCGAACGGCAGCACGGACUUCGGUCUGGUGGCGAGUGGCGAACGGGUGAGUAAUACAUCGGAACGUGCCCAGUCGUGGGGGAUAACGUAGCGAAAGCUACGCUAAUACCGCAUACGAUCUAAGGAUGAAAGCGGGGGACCGUAAGGCCUCGCGCGAUUGGAGCGGCCGAUGGCAGAUUAGGUAGUUGGUGGGGUAAAGGCUCACCAAGCCGACGAUCUGUAGCUGGUCUGAGAGGACGACCAGCCACACUGGGACUGGGACACGGCCCAGACUCCUACGGGAGGCAGCAGUGGGGAAUUUUGGACAAUGGGCGCAAGCCUGAUCCAGGCAUUCCGCGUGCAGGAUGAAGGCCCUCGGGUUGUAAACUGCUUUUGUACGGAACGAAAAGGCUCUGGUUAAUACCUGGGGCUCAUGACGGUACCGUAAGAAUAAGCACCGGCUAACUACGUGCCAGCAGCCGCCGCAG